UACGUAGGUGGCGAGCGUUGUCCGGAAUCAUUGGGCGUAAAGGGAGCGCAGGCGGGCAUGCAAGUCCAUCUUAAAAGCGCGGGGCCCAACCCCGCGAGGGGAUGGAAACUGCAUGCCUUGAGUGCAGGAGAGGAAAGCGGAAUUCCCAGUGUAGCGGUGAAAUGCGUAGAUAUUGGGAGGAACACCAGUGGCGAAGGCGGCUUUCUGGACUGCAACUGACGCUGAGGCUCGAAAGCCAGGGGAGCGAACGGG
RNAcentral lists this ribosomal RNA (252 nucleotides) under uncultured bacterium. RNAcentral's name for it is "partial 16S ribosomal RNA". It matches the Rfam family "Bacterial small subunit ribosomal RNA", at positions 524 to 776 of the family's 1533-position model. The record is from RNAcentral.